This is an RNA transcript of Gastrolobium bilobum, 561 nucleotides long. RefSeq lists it as uncharacterized. The record is from RefSeq and is a predicted model, not a curated record. The transcript is spliced from 6 exons. NCBI's taxonomy places the organism in Eukaryota, Viridiplantae, Streptophyta, Magnoliopsida, Fabales, Fabaceae.
GAAAAAGUGGGGGGAGAAUCAAUGAGGCCUGCUUCUCAGAAAUGGGGCUACAUUCGGAUCAUCAGUGGUACAAUCCUCGGAGGCAUCCUCGGAUUCUACGUUAUGCACCGUGCUGAAAUUAACUAUAAGGAGAAAAUGAAUGAAAGGCUAAGAAACUAUGAGGCUGAAUUGAAGAGGAAGAAGCAGGAGAAAUUGAAUGAGUUUGAGGAAUCUUCCAAGUUUUGAACUUGCUUUCCAGAUUCAUCUGGUGUCCACCCUUGUCUUCCUUUGCUUCUGUAAAGAAUGAAUUCAACCUAAAAGCUUAAGCUGUUAGUACAACAUAGUUUCUUCUUCUUCACAUGACACAUCAUCAUGUACAACUGAAACAUUCACACGGGACGAUGUCUUUGGCAUAUCUCAGUCUGGACCUGCUACAAAAGACCACUCUUGUUAUCUCCAAGACUUCUUCCAUAAAGUCCAACUAUGCAACCAUGGUUGUAAUUCCUUCCAUUUGUCAUUGAGGGCCAUCUGGUUGGGUUCAUUCACAACGGGUUUAUUGGCUAAACUUCAAAGUUGUUCAGG